UGGCUCAGAUUGAACGCUGGCGGUAUGCUUAACACAUGCAAGUCGAACGGUAACAGGCCUUCGGGCGCUGACGAGUGGCGGACGGGUGAGUAACGCGUAGGAAUCUGCCUCAUAGUGGGGGACAACGUGGGGAAACUCACGCUAAUACCGCAUACGCCCUACGGGGGAAAGCGGGGGAUCGUAAGACCUCGCGCUAUGAGAUGAGCCUGCGUUAGAUUAGCUAGUUGGUAGGGUAAAGGCCUACCAAGGCGACGAUCUAUAGCUGGUCUGAGAGGACGAUCAGCCACACUGGGACUGAGACACGGCCCAGACUCCUACGGGAGGCAGCAGUGGGGAAUAUUGGACAAUGGGCGCAAGCCUGAUCCAGCAAUACCGCGUGUGUGAAGAAGGCCUUAGGGUUGUAAAGCACUUUCAAUGGGGAGGAAAACCUGCCGGUUAAUACCCGGUAGCUUGACAUUACCUAUAGAAGAAGCACCGGCUAACUCCGUGCCAGCAGCCGCGGUAAUACGGAGGGUGCGAGCGUUAAUCGGAAUUACUGGGCGUAAAGCGUGCGUAGGCGGCUCGUUAAGUCAGAUGUGAAAGCCCUGGGCUUAACCUGGGAACUGCAUUUGAAACUGGCGAGCUAGAGUUGAGUAGAGGGGAGUGGAAUUUCAGGUGUAGCGGUGAAAUGCGUAGAUAUCUGAAGGAACACCAGUGGCGAAGGCGACUCCCUGGACUCAAACUGACGCUGAGGUACGAAAGCGUGGGUAGCAAACAGGAUUAGAUACCCUGGUAGUCC
Molecule: ribosomal RNA, 778 nt
Filed under: uncultured bacterium
Lineage: Bacteria
Description: bacterial SSU rRNA
Rfam family: Bacterial small subunit ribosomal RNA
Source: RNAcentral